Molecule: long non-coding RNA, 205 nt
Organism: Octodon degus (degu)
Lineage: Eukaryota; Metazoa; Chordata; Mammalia; Rodentia; Octodontidae
Exons: 3
Source: RefSeq, a predicted model, not a curated record
GUGUGCAGGGCUCGCACCGAGCCGGAGCAGCCGCGCUGGAGCGCCUGGGCUCUGUCUAGCCCGCCGUGCCCGCUCCUCGCCGCCUCAGCCGCCGCCGACGCUGGGGGAGCUGCCGUCUAUUGUCUUUCACCGCGGCGAAGGUGCGGAGCGGCUUCGGCUCGGCGCUCGGGGGGAACCCCGGGAGCCGCAAGUAUCCUGGGUCCUG